GCUUUUCGUAACCUCAACAAAUACAUAAGCGUGAGCUUCGUUCGAAUUUGUAACACGUCUUUUGGUCAGCACGAGUUAACCUUUAAUCGCAACGAAGUCAAUUCCUUUCAAUGAGCAGCAAAAUAUCACCUACUCACUGCUCGGGUCCUAGUGACAGCUUCCCUAAACAUCCUCAUACCAUGGCAGGGUCAAGGUUUUUCGAUGGCAGAAUUGAUGGAUCAGUGCAGUAUAUGUCAUCAACUCCGUGGGGAAUCUGUGAGAACUCUGGGACUAGUCGAUUCUGUCGUAAAACUACAGGUAGGGGGUACUGUCGAUGUUUUAUGCAAACAGACAAUCCGGCAAGUGCAAGACAACAAAGACGACCGAUGCAGAGUCUGUCUCUUAAUCAGAAAGCUAAUCGGGAAUUGAAUGCAGCUACGUCUUCUUUUCGCCAUUCCAUCAACUACCCCGCUGAAGAAUAUGCGGAAGAUGUAAUUACUCAUGUGACUCAAGAUAAGACAAGACCCUUUGAAUUGGGAACUUCGGCAAGACACGUUAGAGAGAGCGACCAAAAUGCAGAGACCAGUAAAAGCUUUGCCAUGACAGCGUAGGACAUUAUCGAAGGACGAUGCAUACUUAGUAGGACAACAGGUUGACAAGUUUUCUUUUAAGGCGCUAUUUUGCAUUUAUCACUACAUCCUCGAGUUCCUCGAAGUCAGGCACUGUCGUGUGCGAGACGUCUAGGGAAAGUUAUUUCUAAGAAGGGUGUUUCAAAGCUUCGCGCUAAUGGAACAAUUUAAGUAAAGUGACUCGUGUAUGAAUGCAACUUAAGCUAAAAUGGACAAAAAGUUUUAACUAAAAUAAAUUUUACGUAACGAU
Molecule: long non-coding RNA, 858 nt
Organism: Varroa destructor (honeybee mite)
Lineage: Eukaryota; Metazoa; Arthropoda; Arachnida; Mesostigmata; Varroidae
Source: RefSeq, a predicted model, not a curated record